UAGAGACCUGGCUGAAGGACAUGCAGCUGGAAGGAACCUGUGUCUCUGGUGAUCUCCUAUUCACCGAAAGUCUGGGAAAUGCCUACUUCAGACUUGCUGCAUGUGAGACCCAGAUUCCUUUUCCAGCUGUCAUCAAUGACUGAAAAGAAAAUCCUCAUUAGUAAGGUCCAGGUUUGAAUUAAAACACCUCCUUAGACUUUGGAAAAGAAAUCAUGGCCAUUACAAUAUAACUCAGGAGAGAAGAAAAUACGAACUCCAUUAAGAACCAAGGCCCAUAGCUCAACAGAAAGUCUUCUGAGAACACUGCCUAUAUUCAGUGGAAAGUGGAAAAUCUGACAGCGCUGUAGUCAUCUCUCUCCAUAACAAUGAUUUUUCCUCCUCUUACUAAAAUAGUGCAAGGCUUGUUAUCACAGACACAUGUAUUACCAGCAAUGAGGAUAUAGUCGGAAAGGAUAGCGCCUUCGACAUCUUUAUUUUAUGAUUAACAUUAGGAGAAGAUGACUGGUAGUUCCCAGCACUUCCUGAGUUGCCAUGGAUACCUGUCAUCCACAUCCAGAGCCUGCAGGUUACAUUCAGGGACCUUGGCCAGAUCUUUGAUAAUGUCACCAAAACCCGAAGCUGCAGCGAUAUGGACACACGUCUUUCCACUCUCAUCAUCGUAGUUGAUAAUGGACGGGCCCUGUCGAUGGCUCAGAAUGAUGGAACACAGAAUUCUAUUUCCACUCUGCAAAAGAAGCCAGAGAAAACCCACCAUGAACAACCCUGUACAUGUUCCCGUCUAUACGGAGUUUUGUCUGCAGCUGGGCCUAAUGUCUUCCACGCCUAGUGAACUGACGAUGGACUUGCCAGGAAACAUCAGCUGGCGUCAGAGCUAGCCUGACAGGACAUACAAUCAGACCACGUUCUAAGCUCUCUACACCUGGGUCAGCCAUGCAACUGAGUUCUAACCAUUGGAAAAUGAACAGAAGGCACAAAGACUCCCUUGAAGCCUGGUCUAGAAAGCAUACCUUUCUCCACACCUGUUUUCUCUUCUCAUCUCACUGAGUGUGGAGGAGGACAGGGCUGUAGACGAGGAUGGGACCACACCACUGCGAAGCCCAAGACCCUAACUGAAGACAGAUCAUCAGAGAACAGAUCCACCUCACCAAUCAUCAUCAUCAUCAUCAUGAUGAGAACCAAAAUGUAUUGUCUUAUGCCCGAACAUCAAUAUUUUGUGUCACCAGAGCAGCUAGCGAACCCUGAUCUCUGCCAUUGUCCUCUAGAAGAAGAAAUAGCCCUAGUGAAGUGUUCAAGUCUAGUGAGAGCACAACUGAGCCCAAGGUCUAAGGACUGUGGAACACUGGGCUUCGGAUGCUAAAUCUCCUCAACCUGUGUCAUAUUUUAAAUCUCUAAUUCAUGGUGCAUUUGCAGGUUUCAAGUUUCAAGAGUCCUCUAAUAUUGAGCCUCUAGAGCUGGUCUUGGGGCUGUUUAAUAAAUUGAUUCCAUGUGAAAAGGAAUAUUGACCUAAAGACAUUGGGGCUUGUCUACUUGAUACAACUGCUGCAUUUUCUCAUGGAAUGCAGAGUCACUCUCCAAGUUUCUAUGGAUCUUCUUCAUUUUCAGUUGGGCCACUGGGAUUAAAAUUCCAAGCACAAGGAAACCGGAUUCUUUUUAUUUUAUUUCACAUUGAUCACUCCUUCUCUAAUGAGAUCCUGUUUCAAUCACUGGCUUCAUGAUAGCUGGGCUCUUGUCCGCCUGUCUAAAUCCUGAAAGUUCUGAGCAGUGUUGCGACCACUGCAGUUGCUAAGAGAAGGCUACUUAUUAAGUAAAUGAAUGACUUCUACCUG
Grammomys surdaster is the source of this 1826-nucleotide long non-coding RNA. RefSeq lists it as uncharacterized. NCBI's taxonomy places the organism in Eukaryota, Metazoa, Chordata, Mammalia, Rodentia, Muridae. The record is from RefSeq and is a predicted model, not a curated record. The transcript is spliced from 4 exons.